This 253-nucleotide ribosomal RNA is filed under the name uncultured bacterium. Its description in RNAcentral is "partial 16S ribosomal RNA". It matches the Rfam family "Bacterial small subunit ribosomal RNA", at positions 524 to 776 of the family's 1533-position model. The record is from RNAcentral.
UACGUAGGGGGCAAGCGUUGUCCGGAAUCAUUGGGCGUAAAGAGCGUGUAGGCGGUCCGGUAAGUCGGCUGUGAAAGUCCAGGGCUCAACCCUGGGAUGCCGGUCGAUACUGCCGGACUAGAGUUCGGAAGAGGCGAGUGGAAUUCCUGGUGUAGCGGUGGAAUGCGCAGAUAUCAGGAGGAACACCAACGGCGAAGGCAGCUCGCUGGGACGGUACUGACGCUAAGGCGCGAAAGCGUGGGGAGCGAACAGG